Molecule: ribosomal RNA, 253 nt
Filed under: uncultured bacterium
Lineage: Bacteria
Description: partial 16S ribosomal RNA
Rfam family: Bacterial small subunit ribosomal RNA
Source: RNAcentral
UACGUAGGGUGCGAGCGUUGUCCGGAAUUAUUGGGCGUAAAGAGCUUGUAGGCGGUUUGUCGCGUCUGCUGUGAAAUUUCGGGGCUCAACCCCGAACUUGCAGUGGAUACGGGCAGACUAGAGUGCGGUAGGGGAGACUGGAAUUCCUGGUGUAGCGGUGAAAUGCGCAGAUAUCAGGAGGAACACCGGUGGCGAAGGCGGGUCUCUGGGCCGUAACUGACGCUGAGGAGCGAAAGCGUGGGGAGCAAACAGG